UAUUUUUUUUUGCAGAUAAAAGAUCCAUUAUUUAUUCGUGUAUAAAAAUGCAUUAAAAAAUUAUAUUCUUUUCCAUAUCUAAUUUAAUUUUUGUACAAAAUAAUUUUUUUUAGAACAAACAAUGAAUUAUUUGAAAUGAUCACGUUAUCCUGCAUAUAAUUACCAAAUUUCCGCAAAAUAUAUUACCCAAGCAAAAUCGCGUUUACGUGAUGUCAGCUGAUAAUUCCAUAAAAUCACGCAUACGUGGCAACAACAAUUGAAAAUAAAAACGAAGAAUCUUAUCGAUAUACGUUUAAUAAAAUUAUUACACGUGAUUUCUAGGAAAUCGAGGGAUCAAUUCGUGGACCUUCCUUCAAGUUUCUCGAAACACGCGAUUCCGGAAUUAAGAGGCAGGUCCGACGUUGGUUUGGGUGAAGAUCGAUAAAAUUGCCGUGCUAAGUAUUCACGAUGCUAACGGCUCUCGCCAUCCUGGAUAAGGUGGUAAAUUUCGCUUAAAUCGAAUCUCAGACGAUUCCAUUUAUGUGAAAGUGGA
Apis dorsata (giant honeybee) is the source of this 532-nucleotide long non-coding RNA. RefSeq lists it as uncharacterized. The transcript is spliced from 3 exons. The record is from RefSeq and is a predicted model, not a curated record. Lineage: Eukaryota; Metazoa; Arthropoda; Insecta; Hymenoptera; Apidae.